CCUACGGGCGGCAGCAGUGAGGAAUAUUGGUCAAUGGGCGCGAGCCUGAACCAGCCAAGUAGCGUGAAGGAUGACUGCCCUACGGGUUGUAAACUUCUUUUAUAAAGGAGUAAAGUGAGGCACGUGUACCUUUUUGUAUGUACUUUAUGGAUAAGGAUCGGCUAACUCCGUUCCAGCAGCCGCGGUAAUACGGAGGGUCCGGGCGUUAUCCGGAUUUAUUUGGGUUAAAGGGAGCGUAGAUGGGUUGGUAAGUCAGUUGUGAAAGUUUGCGGCUCAAACGUAAAAUUGCAAUUGAUACUGGCAGCCUUGAGUACAGUAGAGGUAGGCGGAAUUCGUGGUGUAGCGGUGAAAUGCUUAGAUAUCACGAAGAACUCCGAUUGCGAAGGCAGCUUACUAAACUGCCACUGACAUUGAUGCUCGAAAGUGUGGGUAUCAAACAGGAUUAGAUACCCUUGUAGUC
This 460-nucleotide ribosomal RNA is filed under the name uncultured bacterium. RNAcentral describes it as "partial 16S ribosomal RNA". It matches the Rfam family "Bacterial small subunit ribosomal RNA", at positions 338 to 795 of the family's 1533-position model. The record is from RNAcentral.